RNAcentral lists this ribosomal RNA (494 nucleotides) under uncultured bacterium. RNAcentral's name for it is "partial 16S ribosomal RNA". It matches the Rfam family "Bacterial small subunit ribosomal RNA", at positions 28 to 507 of the family's 1533-position model. The record is from RNAcentral.
GACGAACGCUGGCGGCGUGCUUAACACAUGCAAGUCGAACGGAAAGGCCUGCUUUCCCUUGUGGAUUGCGGGUACUCGAGUGGCGAACGGGUGAGUAACACGUGAGUGAUCUGCCCCCAACUUGGGUAUAAGCCUGGGAAACUGGGUCUAAUUCCCGAUAGGACUGCAGGGUGGUGCCUGUGGUGGAAAACGAUUUUCUAGUGGUUGGGGAUGAGCUCGCGGCCUAUCAGCUUGUUGGUGGGGUAAUGGCCUACCAAGGCGGCGACGGGUAGCCGGCCUGAGAGGGUGGACGGCCACAUUGGGACUGAGAUCCGGCCCAGACUCCUACGGGAGGCAGCAGUGGGGAAUAUUGCACAAUGGGCGGAAGCCUGAUGCAGCGACGCUGCGUGGGGGAUGACGGCCUUCGGGUUGUAAACUCCUUUCGACCGCGAGGAAGCCACCUGGUUGGAAGGGUGGUGACGGUAGUGGUAGAAGAAGCACCGGCUAACUACGUG